AAGACUAUAGACCUGCGGAGUACCUGCGGAAGGAUCAUUAAUGAAUUUUAGGACGUUCUUUUUAGAAGUCCGACCAUUUCAUUUUCUUACACUGUGCACACACUUCUUUUUACACACACUUUUAACACAUUAGUAUAAGGAUGUAAUAGUCUCUUAAUUGAGCAUAAACAAAAAUAAAACUUUCAACAAUGGAUCUCU
Molecule: unclassified non-coding RNA, 198 nt
Filed under: soil metagenome
Description: partial contains 5.8S ribosomal RNA, internal transcribed spacer 2, and large subunit ribosomal RNA
Source: RNAcentral